GUCUAUGGCCAUGCCACCCUGAAUGUGCCCAAUCUCGUCUGAUCUCAGAAGCUAAGCAGGGUUGGACCUGGUUAGUACUUGGGUGGGAGACCACCUAGGAAUACCAGGUGCUGUAGGUG
RNAcentral lists this ribosomal RNA (119 nucleotides) under Pteropus alecto (black flying fox). The record is from RNAcentral. Lineage: Eukaryota; Metazoa; Chordata; Mammalia; Chiroptera; Pteropodidae.